Molecule: ribosomal RNA, 448 nt
Filed under: uncultured bacterium
Lineage: Bacteria
Description: SSU rRNA
Rfam family: Bacterial small subunit ribosomal RNA
Source: RNAcentral
AGAACGAACGCUGGCGGCAGGCCUAACACAUGCAAGUCGAGCGCCCGUAGCAAUACGGGAGCGGCAGACGGGAUAGUAACACGUGGGAACGCGCCCUUCGGUUCGGAAUAACUCAGGGAAACUUGAGCUAAAUACCGGAUACGCCCUUACGGGGAAAGAUUUAUUGCCGAAGGAACGGCCCGCGUCCGAUUAGCUAGUUGGUGAGGUAAUGGCUCACCAAGGCGACGAUCGGUAGCUGGUCUGAGAGGAUGACCAGCAUCACUGGGACUGAGACACGGCCCAGACUCCUACGGGAGGCAGCAGUGGGGAAUAUUGGACAAUGGGCGCAAGGCCUGAUCCAGCCAUGCCGCGUGAGUGAUGAAGGCCCUAGGGUUGUAAAGCUCUUUUGUGCGGGAAGAUAAUGACGGUACCGCAAGAUAAGCCCGGCUAACUUCGUGCCAGCAGCCGC